GAAAACGCUCCCUAAAGCUAUCCAAUUUCAACAGUUAAAAUAAGUAAUACCUAUCUUAGUAAUACAUAUUAAAACUAUCAAAAAUAAUUAAGCGACCUUAUUACAUUUAAAAAACCCAAAACUUCAAACGUAAAUAAAAGGAUGUCCAGUUCACCAGAAGAAAACCAAACUUUCAGAACGGGUGGCCACUUCGAAUUCCCUCACAGCUUCAAGCCCACUAUAGUUAAGGAUUUCCUGCGUGGAUGAAAAUAAAAGGGGUGAGUUUAAGAAAACUCAGUGUGUAAAGAAAACCUAUUCAAAGCCCAAGUCAGCUCAAGCCUAUUGGGCCUAAGCCCAUUUAGGUAACAGUGGUACUGGACCAGAGCCCUUUUCAGAUUACAAUAAACUGGGCCUUAGCCCCUUAUUCAGAUAACAGUAUGGCCCAUAGGCCCAUUUCAAAAUACAUGUAACAUCAAUAACAUAUGCAAGCCCAUUUGGGGAGACUACUCAACCCACCAACCACUACACUCCACCCGUACCAGCCAUACACUCCAUGUGGGGAAUAGCUCAACCCACCUAACCCAACACUCCACAGUUGCAGCCUUGCUGCUCAGUUAGCAGUAAAUUGAGGCAAAGCCUCCAGUACGUGGACAAGCCACUUUCAGUACUUCCUCCGUCAAUAUCUCAAUCCCAUGCAUCAGAUAAUAACAUGGCAUGCAGUAAAUAACAACAGCCAAACAUGCAUUUAGGUCAAUUUAACCCUAGGGGUAUUUCGGUAAUUUAUCUACUAGGGGUAAAACUGUAAAUUUUCCAUUUUUAAAGGUAUUUUAGUAAUUUAUCUAUUUUAGAGUUUUUCAUGCAUAUUCCUACUUUUCACGUACUAACAGAAUCACGUACCGAGUGUUCUUACCGAAUUGGGCCUGUUGGCCCAUCAUUUCAAUUUUGGCCCAUUAAGCCCAGAAAUAUCGAGGGCACAGAAAUAAUACAUUUCACAGUCCAAAUUUUGUAGCUUACCAAAAACAUUAAUCGAUUUACCUCACGAGCAUUUGCAUACUCGUAAAUUUACAAAAUACUAGUUUUCAGCAUUUUGAUUUGUCAACUUUUGUCGAUCCAGACUAAGAAAGAGGGUGUUAGUUACAUACUUGUUUGCGACGAUAUGCUGAUGAGAUCUACACACGAACCGCCUACAAUUGGAUUACUAACACGUUAAUCUAACUAUUCAAAUACAAACUACGUAUUAACCCCUUACAAUAUUCGGCCAACCACACCUACAGAUCAUAGUAAGCUUAUAAGAAAUCAAUAAGCAACUCAUUAACAAAUUUUUGUCAAUGUUAACCACAUAAUCAUAAUUUCACUGCAAGCUGUCUUCUUGAGAAAUAGUCACUAAAUCAUUUAUAACUGGUGCUACAAAACUCCAAAUCAAGUGCCGUUAAUUUUCCCUGAAAAUACUCAUAUAUCUUAUAUCCAUAAAAUUUUCAGAAUUUUUGGUUUGAUCAAUCAAUACCAGAUAUUUCUCAAAGUUUCGCAUGUUUCACUGUUUGACUAAUCUGACCACUCUUCAUUACGAAUCAAAUUUUUCAUUGUACAGAAUUCAAAAUAUGUUCUCGUUUAUUUCAUUUGAAACUAGAUGCAAUAAGCUUUAAUUACAUAAUUUAUUCAGCUUCUAAUUCAUCUCCCACAAUUUAUGGUGAUUUUCCAAAGUCACGUUACUGCUACUGUCCCAAGCAGAUUUAUUACCAAAUUCACUCUUUCACACAUAACAUGUAUAUCACCAAUCAAUCAUCACAUAUCUAUGAUUUUACUUAAGUAUAAUCUCAAUUUCAUCAUUUUAAAGCACAUGUUAGCCGAUAUUUCCCCUUAGCAUCUAAGGCACAUACAUGCUCAUUUGUUUGGCUCAACUUCACCUAUCUUUCAUUUUUUAUCAAAAGAACAUGAAACAACAACCAUUUCCUUCGUUUUAAUUCAUGACUAAAUGCUCACAAUACAACUAAAAACUAAAAUAUGCUUCAAGAGUUAAGGUAGAAUCAAGAACUCAUGAACCUCAAAAUAAAAAUAAACUACCAUGAACUUACCUUCAAUUUUUCUUCCCCAAGUGACCGAACAUUCAAGAGCUUUCUCUUCUCCUUUCUCUUCUCCAACUUUAGGCUAUAAUGAACAAAGAUGGACAAAACUUUAUUCUUUUCACCCCUUUUUCUUUUAAUAAAAUUUAAUAUUUCAUUUAUUUAAUUCUUUAAUACAAAAGAUAUGAAAUUUCCAUCAUGAAAUAUUUAUUUAACCCAUUAUCAUGAAACAUUUACCUAACCCAUUAUCAUGGAACAUUUACCUAACCCAUUAUCAAUUUGUACCAUGAAUUAUAGAUAUCAAGUGUUCAUAUUGUCUACAACAACAUGAUGGCUGACUACUUCAUAUAAAAUGAGAGGUUUGUCAUGCAAAUCCUUCUAUUUUACACUAUUAUUUAUUUGGCCACUUCAAUUUAGCCUAUAGCAUUUUCAAACAUUUUUACAUAGGUCCUAUUUCAUAAUUUCACUCACAAAUGACAAAAUUAAAACAUAAAAUUUUGUCAACAUUCACAGAAUUCCCGAAAAUUGAAACGUUAAAGCAAACGAAAGAAAAAAUCUUUUCAAAAUCUUAAAGAUAGGAUCUAUUCGAGAAUUGAAGGACGGAGCUCCAGGUUACUAUCACAAGAAAGAAAGGAGGUCUUCAUUAAAUCAAUGCUUCAGGCAAUACCAACCUACGCUAUGUCAUUUUCUCUUUUACUGAAAUCAUUAUGUGAGGAGUUAGAAAAUAUUUUUUGCUAAAUUUUGGUGGCAAAAUGGCUAUGGAAAAAAAAAUACAUUGGUGUCAGUGGAAGCAUGUGUCAUCCUAAAGAAGAGGGAGGGAUAGGUUUCAGAAGUAUAAAUCAAUUUAAUAUAUCAUUAUUAGCAAAGCAAGAUGGAGGAUUUUAAAUACCCCAAACUCUUUAGUUGCGUAAGUACUUAAAGCGAAAUAAUUUCCGAAUGAGGAUUUUUUGAAUUCGCGUUUGGGAAACAAUAGUUCUUAUAUAUGGAAAAGUAUAUGGGCGACAAAGGGCAUCUUGGCAGAAGGACUUUGCUGGAAGGUGGGUAAGGGCACGAAUAUUUCAGUUAUUAAUGAUGCUUGGAUUCCAGAUGCAAGAAAUUUCAGAUUAUCGUCGUUUGCUCAUAAUAUGUGAAAUUAUAAAGUUGCUGAGCUAAUUGAUAAUAAUGACAGAAAAUGGAAGCGGGAGUUGAUUGUCAAUACCUUUCCGGAGGAAGAAGCUGAAAAGAUCUUUCGUAUUCCUUUGGAGAAAGAACCUCAUGACGAUUUUUUGGUCUAGAGCGGUGAACCUUCAGGAGAAUACUCGGUUCGAACACCUAUAAACUAUUACAAAUUUCUGAAGAUCCUAGAGCUUAUGCUUUGCAAACCGACUACAGGAAGUUUUACAAAAAAACUCUAGCUCCUAAAUCUACCUUCAAAAAUUAAGAUUAGCGUCUGGAAAAUAUCAUGGAAUUAUUUGCCUACACGGGUUAACGUGCAGCAAAGGAGGCUAACAAAUAUUGUAAUUUGUCCUCGGUGUGGAAAAUGGGCAGAAACUAUGGAUCACCUUUUUCGCGAAUGUCCUGUUUUAGUGUAAGUUUGGACAGAAUUAUCAAUCCCGAAUUUUUUACAGGAAUCUAAUUUGGAGUUUCUACAGUGGCUCACCUGGGUUUUUACUCAGAACACUCCCUCUCAAUGUAGAAUAUUUUUUUGUGCGCUAUGGGCCAUUUAGGGAGAAAGGAACGCUAGAAUGCAUGAGAAGGUAAGCAGAACUGGGAAAGAAAUAGCUAGCUUUGUCAAUAGUUAUAUUACAAAACUAAAUGGGGUUGAAUAAAGAACCCCCAAAAUUUCGCAGGAAGUUAGAAAAUGGAAUUACCCACCUGGUCAGUAAAUAAAAUCAACUUUGAUGGAGCAUACGAUGGGCAACAUUUUCAAUUGGUUUCGGAGAUUGUGGCUAGAAAUAGCGAAGGGAAUGUUCUUCUAUCUUGUUCAGAAAUUCAUCAAGAAGUGGCCUCCGCCUUCACUCUGAAGCACUCGCUUGUCGCGAAGUAGCCCAAAUGGGAAUAUACAUGCGAUGGCCAAAGAUUGUUAUAGAAGGCGACUCAUUAUCAAUAAUGAAAAAGUGCAAGGCAGAAAAACAAGAUAAAUUGUAGGUAGGAGCAUAUAUACAUGAUAUUCAACAAAUAACAUCUAGAUCUAGAAACUUAGUGUUUGAAUAUAUUCCAAGAUCAGCAAAUGGUUUAGCACAUAUACUAGCAACUGAAUCGUUAAAAAAGGAGGAGGUGUACUUGUUAGAAAGCAUCCCUGGAUAUGCUAAAAACCAGAAAGAAUUUGAUAGAGUGCGAGAACCAGAUUGAAAACGGAUAGAGAAAAAAAGGAAGGAAGGAAAGUUUCAAAUGAGCAGAUCAAUGGUUUUGGUGAUAAAAGCUUUCGUUGGAAAACUUUAACCGUCUUUAAGAAGAAAUGGGAGAUUGAUAGACAAGACGGGCAUCAGUGUUCUUUGAUUGGGCAAAGUUGCGGUGAUAAUUAUGAGCUUCUAGACUAUUCUUAUUUUAUUUUCUUUUUAGAAAUUCUUUUUAAUUCGGGCCAUUUUUUAAUGUUGGGCCUUCUCUUCUGUUUUAGUUCUAUU
RNAcentral lists this long non-coding RNA (4642 nucleotides) under Gossypium barbadense (sea-island cotton). RNAcentral describes it as "long non-coding RNA (GBAR_LNC009035)". The record is from RNAcentral. Lineage: Eukaryota; Viridiplantae; Streptophyta; Magnoliopsida; Malvales; Malvaceae.